Sinocyclocheilus anshuiensis is the source of this 514-nucleotide long non-coding RNA. RefSeq lists it as uncharacterized. The record is from RefSeq and is a predicted model, not a curated record. The transcript is spliced from 4 exons. Lineage: Eukaryota; Metazoa; Chordata; Actinopteri; Cypriniformes; Cyprinidae.
GAGUUCGGAUGAUAAGAAAUGCUGAUUCUGCAUCCAGUUCUUCAUGCCUCUAGAUCGCGGUGUUUUGUCACGCUGAGCUCAUUGUUUCUAAACCAACACGACGCUGACGUCUGCUGUAAAAUCACGUUUCCAUGAGCUCCUCCAUCAUUGUGAAAAAUAAAGACUCAGGUCAGCUGAAGGAAAAUCUGAUGAUCUGAGAUCAGCGUCCGGAUUCAGUGAGUCAUUCUGCCGACGGAAUCCAUGGAAAUGAAGGAAAAGUUCAAUGACAACAAAGAGGGAAAAUCCAGCCGCACAAAAACAUUACAACACUUCAUACUGAAUGACAGAGAGAGGAAACGUUUAGGGAUGAGUGCCGGCGAUAGCUGAAGGAAGGCGCAGUCGCAGGUGUUUCUGUGAAUCUGAUGCCCUCAUGACUUCAGCGCUGGAGAAUCCAAACAGAACCGGCACACAAAACCCACCAUCAUCCCUCAUGAACAUCAGCACACACCUUUAAUCACGCUCAUAAAGGAAGAAA